UGGGGAAUAUUGCACAAUGGGCGAAAGCCUGAUGCAGCGACGCCGCGUGGGGGAUGAAGGCUUUCGGGUUGUAAACCCCUUUCAGUAAGGAAGAAUUUGACGGUACUUACAGAAGAAGCGCCGGCUAACUACGUGCCAGCAGCCGCGGUAAUACGUAGGGCGCGAGCGUUGUCCGGAAUUAUUGGGCGUAAAGAGCUCGUAGGCGGUUUGUCGCGUCUGCUGUGAAAGACCGGGGCUUAACUCCGGGGCUGCAGUGGGUACGGGCAGGCUAGAGUGCGGUAGGGGUAACUGGAAUUCCUGGUGUAGCGGUGGAAUGCGCAGAUAUCAGGAGGAGCACCGAUGGCGAAGGCAGGUUACUGGGCCGUUACUGACGCUGAGGAGCGAAAGCAUGGGGAGCGAACAGGAUUAGAUACCCUGGUAGU
This 422-nucleotide ribosomal RNA is filed under the name uncultured Actinomycetales bacterium. RNAcentral describes it as "bacterial SSU rRNA". It matches the Rfam family "Bacterial small subunit ribosomal RNA", at positions 355 to 794 of the family's 1533-position model. The record is from RNAcentral. Lineage: Bacteria; Bacillati; Actinomycetota; Actinomycetes; Actinomycetales.